AAGAAGGCUGGGCUAGGCCGCGCCAUCCCCCGCGCGGCUAGCUUUCGUUUCUCCCCAUUCCGCCUUGACAAACCGCCUUUGCGAAAAGGGAAACCUAUGACAACCCCCACCUCUCCGCAGUGAUCAUCUGCACUCACACGUGCGUUUUAUUUGCCUUUAUUCCCCGCCCUUUCCCCCCUGCAAGUUGCCAGCCCAGCAUGGUAUCCUCACCCCCAGUUUCAUCCUCACAACGACCCUGCGAGGUUUGUCAGCUGAUUGUCUCCUGUUCAGUAUUACAUACGGCUGAGAAAGCUGUAUUGAUGCUGCAACUGCCUCUUCUGCACCAAGUAAGUGAUUUAUGCAUUUAUCAGACAUAUAACUUGAUUUUUUUUUAUUGCAGCCCUGUGUGUCUUCACAGCAUUAGCAAAAUGCAGUGACAGAUGCAAGGACACAUAUAUAAAGAAAAGCAGUUGAACUAGAGCUACUAGCUGAUGUCUGUGCUUACCUCCAGUAGUUAGGAAAGUCCAAGGCCCUCUACAGUAUAAGACCAAAAAGCAAAAUAUUAUAGUUUCUUCAGGAGCAGCAUGUAAAAUGGCAAGCUGUGCCUUAGUGUUUAUGUACAUGAAGCCCAGGAUACAGCCUCUCCCUCCAGCCUCAGAGAUUUAACUACCAGGAAAGAUAGAGGGCUAAACUUGGGGGAAGGGGAGGAAAUGAUGAUUCUGGCCAAUUCACAUCCGUAAUAAAAAUAAAAAUAAAAUAAAAUGAAGGGAGCUAUAUUGCGGCAGAGACCAGAAAAUCAGGGACUGUAGGAGCACAUGCUUAUUAUUGUUCUUUGCACAAUGUGUGAUGCCUUUACACAUUGCUAAAAGAAAGUCCAGGUUAGACAACACACACAUCACACACAUUCUUUUUUAAUAAAAAGAAAGCCCACCCACAGCAUCCCAACUCUGACAUAUUACAUAUUGAAAAUUUUUUUUAUUUACAAUACAGUAGCUAAAAAAUUCAAAAAGGCUGUGUGUUAGAAAACCAGACUGUCAUCUUCCUGUGGGAACCUGAAGUAUCUUUGGUUGCUUGGGGGGGGCACUAAAGUUUACUCCUUUAGCAGCAGUAAACUUCCUUCUGUCUCCUUAACAUUUUAUUUCUCUGUGAUGGAUGGAUAUAUAUGGCACCUGUGCAUUCUACACAUAAUCUAAAAUCUGGUGAAAAGAGAGCCUUUCAUAUCUCAGUGAACAGAAACUGCCAAAGUAAAGAUGUAACCAUGUCAAGCAUCUGGAGAAACCUUUUAAAAAUGACUGCCGAAAGAGGCAUACAAAAAUGUGUCAUAAUUUAUAUA
Podarcis raffonei (Aeolian wall lizard) is the source of this 1312-nucleotide long non-coding RNA. RefSeq lists it as uncharacterized. The record is from RefSeq and is a predicted model, not a curated record. The transcript is spliced from 2 exons. Lineage: Eukaryota; Metazoa; Chordata; Lepidosauria; Squamata; Lacertidae.